CCCUUUUGUAGCUAUCUCUGGGUCAGUAGGCAUGGCUACUACCUGCAUUCUUUUGAUCACAUGUUGAAUGAGUUGUAUUAAGCAAGAGAUCAUGCAUGGUAAAAAGAUUAGAGUUGCUACAACACAUAAGAGGAAAAAAAGCAUUUGUUUGACUCAUAGGCCACCAGGUAACCAUGAAAACAUGUCUCAUUCCCAUCCUUUCCAUGUUUGGACCGGUACAUGGGCUAACUUUCUUAUUCCUUUUGUUAUUUGUUUUACCACUUUUCUUUUGUCAUCUAUUUGCAAACAGCAGUUUGAGU
This is a long non-coding RNA of Parus major (Great Tit), 299 nucleotides long. RefSeq lists it as uncharacterized. Lineage: Eukaryota; Metazoa; Chordata; Aves; Passeriformes; Paridae. The transcript has 2 exons. The record is from RefSeq and is a predicted model, not a curated record.